RNAcentral lists this non-coding RNA (84 nucleotides) under Candidatus Omnitrophota bacterium. Its description in RNAcentral is "Omnitrophica WOR c-di-GMP sequence". It matches the Rfam family "c-di-GMP-I-GGC riboswitch aptamer". Lineage: Bacteria; Pseudomonadati; Candidatus Omnitrophota. The record is from RNAcentral.
AGACGAAAGGGCAAACCUGUCGAGAGACAGGGACGCAAAGCCACGUGGCCCCGAUGUAACGUCGGGGUGGCCGGGCUACCGAAA